Molecule: ribosomal RNA, 399 nt
Filed under: uncultured bacterium
Lineage: Bacteria
Description: bacterial SSU rRNA
Rfam family: Bacterial small subunit ribosomal RNA
Source: RNAcentral
AUUGAACGCUGGCGGCAUGCCUUACACAUGCAAGUCGAACGGCAGCACGGGAGCUUGCUCCUGGUGGCGAGUGGCGAACGGGUGAGUAAUAUAUCGGAACGUACCCUAGAGUGGGGAUAACGCAGCGAAAGUUGCGCUAAUACCGCAUACGAUCUACGGAUGAAAGUGGGGGAUCGCAAGACCUCAUGCUCAUGGAGCGGCCGAUAUCUGAUUAGCUAGUUGGUGGGGUAAAGGCCUACCAAGGCUUCGAUCAGUAGCUGGUCUGAGAGGACGACCAGCCACACUGGAACUGAGACACGGUCCAGACUCCUACGGGAGGCAGCAGUGGGGGAAUUUUUGGACAAUGGGCGAAAGCCUGAUCCAGCAAUGCCGCGUGAGUGAAGAAGGCCUCGGUGUAAG